This is a small nuclear RNA of Phodopus roborovskii (desert hamster), 106 nucleotides long. Lineage: Eukaryota; Metazoa; Chordata; Mammalia; Rodentia; Cricetidae. The record is from RefSeq and is a predicted model, not a curated record.
GUGCUCAUUUUCGUAGCAUACAUAGUAAAAUUGGAAAAAUACAAAAAGAUGAGCAUGGUCCCUACACAAAGAUGACAUUCAAAUUAGGGGAAUAUGAUAUAUAUCA